UCGGUAAAAAAACUCAUAUUAUACAACCGCAAAACAUAAAAGCAAUGAAAUAGAAAAUAACCUCAUCUUUCAUUUGACAACAUUAAGUGAUAUUUACAGUAUGGACAAUAAAGUAAGUGAUGAUACAAUUUCUAGUCAGCUGAACAAUAGUAACCUUAUGCAGGAUGCGACAUCUUCAAAACUAGUCUAAUGGACAAAGUCAUAUUCUAAUCAAACUUUAGAAACCAGCUAUUUUAUAGCUAGUAAAAAACAAGUAAACACAAUCCGCUGAAAUCAUGUAACCUCUUCUUCAAAAUCUACUUACAAAUUUCUUAUCAGCCUUGAACUGCCAGUAUCUGCAAUUGGUCUAGAAAAACUUGCAAGCUCAAGUCAUCCGUAAAGAUGAUAUCCGAACCAUCUGUGUAUGUUGAAUUUUGCGUAACAGAUGGAUUCAACUUGGCAAGAAGAAACCUAGCCUGACUACUAUGCUGGUCACAUCUUAUAACCUUUGGCACUGGAACCCGUUCAGCCACCAACUGUUCUGCAUCCAGUUCUGGAGCUUCCAACAGCUUUCUAAAAUUUUCAUGGUUUGGGUCCUUAUCAUAACCAAGCUUCUUCCACUGAGCAAUCUUGGACCCAUAAUGGAUCACCACAAGGAAGAAUGAAUCAAAGAGCAAGAUAGAAUCGGGGCAAAUGGAACGAAUAUCUAGAAGUACAGGAAUGGGUGGCCCAUCAAACGAAUAUUGAAAAAGUGUAGGUUGAAUCAUUAUAAGGGAUCCAACUACUCCCUCGCGGUUCAGCAUAAGCCGGAAAUACGCAGUUUCAUCAGGAGUAGUGUUAGAGACAUCAAUAAAUUGGGAUCUCCUUAAGUGGAACAUAAAUUGGGGAUAAAGGGAAAAGUUUGAAGAUAAACGGAAGGAAGAAGGAUCUUCUGGCACAUAGUCCCCAAACUUAGAGGUAAAACGGAUAAGUGUGUCAUCAAGCCAUCUAACAACAUCACGGGCAUGACACGUCUCUGCUCGGAGAAUGGCAAGUCUUGCCAUAACCGAAGCUGCUGCUUCUUGAUCAAACCCAGCAGCAAUAUCUGUGGAAUGGUUUGCAACCCAUCGUCGUGCAGCAGUGGUGACUCUUUUUCUGAGACCCAUGUUCCCUUGCCUGUACCGUGUUAUAAACUGAACCAUAAAUGCAGAGCUGGGCUGAAUGGUCUGUUUAUCACUAACUUGGAAGAAAAAAGCAAUGCAAGUUCGGUCAGUGAGUGUAUUCAACUUCCACACGCAGGUACCACCUUGUCCAACCUCAGUCUCACUCACUGAAGCGUUCUUUUUUCUAAGAGACAUGCAAGGUCCAAGAGCUCCAGAAAUUUUGACAUCAUUAGUAGUCACUAUUUCAAUGGUUGCAUCAAAAUUCAUCUUCAAAAAUCCCUCAUCAUCAUCAUGUUUAAACAAGUGCCUUAGACAUUUCCUAAAUUGAUCUGAUUCAAAGGAUUCGGCAAGAACCACAAAUCCACCCGAACGCUCAAUGGGUUCUCGAAGCUCGGCAACUCCAACUUGGUCAAGGGAGCAAGCAAACAGAUCAAGAACAACAGACGCAUCAAACAGCCUCUUCGCAAUCUGCCUAUAGAAACUGCAAGAUUUAGAAUGAUGUCUCGCCUGCCCGUUGAAAAUGUCAUUGUGGGUUCUCAUGGAUUGCCGGAAAUCAGAGUCCACAACCAGUCCAGGUCCAAGAGUCGCAGGCCCAGAAGUGAAGACCAUGAUUCUAGAGCCGGUAUUUACAAAACAACACUCUAAAAGUCCAAGGGCAGCUGAAAUUGCAGCUCCAGUGGACCUCGGGGGACGGUUUCCGGACCUGAAGUUAUACGAAGAAUGAAUAUCUUCAAUUGCAGCAGUGAUACUAAACUCACAUUCUGAAAUUGGAACCAGAAAUCCCUGCUUUGGAACAGGCUGUGUUUGUCCAGUAUGCAGCUGGUGUGGACGGCUAAUGUUCAGGAACUGCCUACCUGAUCGGAAGAAAAUUGGUGUUCACCGUGCAAAAGAACGAUCCUGGAACAGUGAGAAAACUGAAUAUCAUGAAGAUAAACCAUUGAAUCAAAAGUAAUCAAAGCAACAAGAGCAGUAUCAGGCAAAUGAUGAAGAAGAAGCAAAAUCUCAUUCUUAAGUGAACAAAGCUCAUCUUGAGAAGUGGAAACAUCGAUAACAAAAAUAAAAGCUGGAGGAUGAAAAAGUGAAGAAGAAGAAGAAGAAGAAGAAGAAGAGUAUUCAACAGUGGUGUAAGUAGGAAAGAGUUCAGCGGGAAGAUUAGCGUCGGCGAUGGAGCGAGGAAAAGGGUUUCGUUGAGAACAAAAGGGACAGUGCCAGAUACGUGAUUGAUAAUCGAGACGAGCGUAAGGGUUUAAAACGGCGCCGCAUCGAGUGCAGAGGAGAGGAUCGUAAGGGAGAAGAGGUAGGUCAGUGCCGUGUUGGGAGAGUGGUGUGCACAUGAUGGUUAGAGGGAUUGUUAGGUCUGAUUUGGUUGUUGAUGGCCAUGAAUUCCAUGACCAACGGAGGCCUUCUACUGCCUCCAAUUCAACGAAAUCCAUUGUGAGGAUGAAUUGAUUGAAAAUCUAGAUCCGUUUCUUGAAACCGGAGAGGAAGAGGUGAUGGACGAGAUGGUGGUUCAACGGCGGCGGUGUGAGUAAAGGAGGAAACGGAAGAGUGCUGUUGUUCGGCAGUGGCUUAUGGUGGUGCGUACGUUGGACGGCAGACUUCGACGGCGGCAGUGCUUUAAACCCUUUCCUUCUCAGUUGGGUGAGGUGGUG
This 2773-nucleotide long non-coding RNA is filed under the name Medicago truncatula (barrel medic). RNAcentral describes it as "lncRNA gene6230". The record is from RNAcentral. Lineage: Eukaryota; Viridiplantae; Streptophyta; Magnoliopsida; Fabales; Fabaceae.